Non-coding RNA from Macaca mulatta (Rhesus monkey), 2315 nucleotides. NCBI's taxonomy places the organism in Eukaryota, Metazoa, Chordata, Mammalia, Primates, Cercopithecidae. The record is from RefSeq and is a predicted model, not a curated record.
UUGAACUCUACUUAUUUCUUUAAAAAGGCUUCCCUGACUCUCUUCUGCAUGGCUUGCUGUGUUUGAAGAAAAAUAAUAUCCAAAAUCUUCUAUGGCAGCACUGAAAGCAAAGAUGCUGUGAAAACGACUUUCCAGGGGAGGAAACAUUCGUAAAAGCUGUUCAUAGCCGUUACUAAACAUCAUUUAAUCAAAGGGGAGAAGAACUAAAGUUGCCUUGACAGUUUUGAGCACUGUGUGAGGACAAAUGUGAUAUCUAAUUUGAUUCAAUUAAGGUUUAAAAAGAUGCUAAUCUCUGUUGCUGUUGAAAUUCUGCAAAACUCACCAGUGGCCUAUUUCCUGAGCAGAAAGUCUAGAGGCAUCCAUAGCCAGAUUUGAGGCCCAUGCAGUGAAGACGGUAGAAGAAAAUGGUCAAAGUUUGUGUUCUCUUCUUAGGAUGCUCAUUCUGAUGUCUAAAAGUGUGUACAAUUUCUGCUGCCUGCUCAAUUCUACUUUACUUGCCCUUUUAGAAAUUUAGCAUCAUAUCAAGAUUCCUCAAAGCAAAAAUUGCAUUAACUAUGACAGUUUUAGCCUCACUUAGAAUUUUAGUCUUGAUCUGUCACUGAAGUCUUGGCUCCUUGGUCCUUGCAUGUAAUUCAGUGGUUGGACAUGAACUUAGAAAUCACUUUAAGACUAAAAAUGUAAAUCUGGUCUAAAAAACUGAGCAUUAGUCAGCUGUCAUUUAUUUCAUAUGUAUUUGUUAUACACCUAUUGUGUUCCAAACAUUAUAUGACACCGAGAUGACAAAGAUGAAUCUAACUUAUUCCCUUGCCUCAAAAACACCUGAAGUGCUGGACAAGAGAGGCAAGUAAGUUAAUGCUAUAAUAGUGUAAUAAGUGUUGUGUUAUAGAAACACAAUGUGCCUAUGAAAACACAGAGAGAGGCUUCUCUAACUAAAUGAGAGGAAGAGCUUACUUGAAUCAAACUUCAGAUGAUAGAGGUAGGAAAGAUUUCCCAGAAUAAAAAAAGAGGAAAGGGACAGAAAUAUGAGACAGCAAGAUGUGUUGCAUAAUCAGAUGAAAGUUUCAUGUGGAGAAUUAGAGGAAUGUGAGUCUAGAAAGAUUAGACAAAAAUAAUUUAAGAACCUGAAUGUUAACCUGCAGGCUGUGAACUUUAUCCUUAAAAACAAUAUUGGAAGUCUGUGCAAGAAAGUAAUGGGGUCACAUCUAUACUUCAGAACUCUAUUAAAAUGUGAAAUAGCUAUACAUCAUCAUUUUUUUAAAAAAAUUUAAUCUUGUUUUAUCCAUUUAUCAUAACUCAAAUCCCACCAGGCCAAUGUUGGUUCUUACAUUUUACUCCAAUCAAGAGAUGUCAUGAUUCCUCUUUGCAUUAUCCCUUCAGAAAAAAAAUACCCCUUAAGGAGCCGAAUAAUCUCCUUAACUACUUUGGGGAAAAGUUGAAGGUGUCUCCAAAUAUUAAAUCCAAUUCUCAGGAGAGAAAAAAAUAUAUAUAUAUAAAUAACAUUGCUACAGCAUGUUACCUUCUAAUCUGAUGAUCGAAAAGGAAUUAGUGGAAGCCCCUUGAGAAGACAAUUACGUAGUUAUUCUUGAUCUGUGGGGGUUGAGUAGAAAGCAGAUGACAUGGUCAUAUUAUUUAUUUCUAGAAUCUUAGAAUCUUGGACUUAAGUAUUGAGCCUUCUGACUCAAUAGUUUAUAAAAUAAAUGCAAUCAUAACUGUAUUCCUCCUCCAAAUAAAAGAAACUAUACACCAUUACUCAUGGUAACUACUCAAUAAGGGUAUUUGGAAAGAAGUAAGAUGUAGGAUCUUUUCAAGAUAUUGCUUUACAAUGCCUCCUUUAGAAUGGACCUGAAUGAAUUGAUAAAUUCCUAUCUCUACCUGCCUUAAGAACGAUAAUAUUUCUGUUUAACUUUUGCAAAUGACCUAUUCUGAACUAUAAAUACAACGGUAAAGUCUCCUAAUGAUCAACCUAUUGGUCCAAAGAUUUUUCAAAUGGAAAUGUUGUAUAAGUAUCUUGGCUUAAUGCCUUAUUAACGUUACAUACACACACACACACCCCUCAAAAAGAAUACCAGAGUAAUUUUAUGAAAGCCACACAAAUAGAAGGCCUCGUAUUCAUUUAAACAUUUUGAAUUCUACUGAUUUAGAGCAGACUUAAGAAUAUCAAAAUGUAUAACUGAUGCCAGAAUUUGUUCUUGAACAGUGCCAGAACCUCUUUUUUAUUAGUAUUUCUCUCUCUCUCUCUCUCUUUCUUUUUCUUUCUUUCUGAUGGAGUCUGGCUCUGUCCCCCAGGCUGGAGUGCAGUGGCGCCAUCUCUGCUC